GACGAACGCUGGCGGCGUGCUUAACACAUGCAAGUCGAGCGGUAAGGCCCUUUCGGGGGUACGACGAGCGGCGAACGGGUGAGUAACACGUGGGUGACCUGCCCUCAGCUCUGGGAUAAGCCUGGGAAACCGGGUCGUAUAACUGGAGUAUGACUCCACUGGACGCAUGUUGGUGGGGUGGAAAGCCUUGUGCGGCUGAGGAUGGGCCCGCGGCCUAUCAGCUUGUUGGUGGGGUGACGGCC
Molecule: ribosomal RNA, 242 nt
Filed under: uncultured bacterium
Lineage: Bacteria
Description: partial 16S ribosomal RNA
Rfam family: Bacterial small subunit ribosomal RNA
Source: RNAcentral